UACGUAGGUGACAAGCGUUGUCCGGAUUUACUGGGCGUAAAGAGCGCGCAGGCGGUCGAUCAAGUCGAGUGUGAAAGCCCCCGGCUCAACUGGGGAGGGUCAUUCGAUACUGAUCGACUCGAAGGCAGGAGAGGGUAGUGGAAUUCCCGGUGUAGCGGUGAAAUGCGUAGAUAUCUGGAGGAACACCGGUGGCGAAGGCGGCAUCCUGGACCGGUAUUGACGCUGAGGCGCGAAAGCUAGGGGAGCAAACGGG
RNAcentral lists this ribosomal RNA (253 nucleotides) under uncultured bacterium. RNAcentral's name for it is "partial 16S ribosomal RNA". It matches the Rfam family "Bacterial small subunit ribosomal RNA", at positions 524 to 776 of the family's 1533-position model. The record is from RNAcentral.